Molecule: ribosomal RNA, 252 nt
Filed under: uncultured bacterium
Lineage: Bacteria
Description: partial 16S ribosomal RNA
Rfam family: Bacterial small subunit ribosomal RNA
Source: RNAcentral
UACGAAGGGGGCUAGCGUUGUUCGGAAUUACUGGGCGUAAAGCGCACGUAGGCGGAUAUUUAAGUCAGGGGUGAAAUCCCAGAGCUCAACUCUGGAACUGCCUUUGAUACUGGGUAUCUUGAGUAUGGAAGAGGUAAGUGGAAUUGCGAGUGUAGAGGUGAAAUUCGUAGAUAUUCGCAGGAACACCAGUGGCGAAGGCGGCUUACUGGUCCGGUACUGACGCUGAGGUGCGAAAGCGUGGGGAGCAACAGG